This 765-nucleotide ribosomal RNA is filed under the name marine metagenome. Its description in RNAcentral is "bacterial SSU rRNA". It matches the Rfam family "Bacterial small subunit ribosomal RNA", at positions 8 to 819 of the family's 1533-position model. The record is from RNAcentral.
AGAGUUUGAUCAUGGCUCAGAACGUACGCUGGCGGCACGCCUAACACAUGCAAGUCGAACGCAGUAGCAAUACUGAGUGGCAGACGGGUGAGUAUAAUGUGGGAAUCUGCCUUUUGGUUUGGAAUAACACGGGGAAACUUGUGCUAAUACCGAAUAAGCCCUUACGGGGAAAGUUUUAACGCCGAAAGAUGAGCCUGCACUUGAUUAGCUAGUUGGUAAGGUAAAGGCUUACCAAGGCAACGAUCAAUAGCUGUUCUUAGAGGAAGACCAGCCACAUUGGGACUGAGACACGGCCCAGACUCCUACGGGAGGCAGCAGUGGGGAAUCUUGCACAAUGGGGGAAACCCUGAUGCAGCGAUGCCGCGUGAGUGAAGAAGGCCCUUGGGUUGUAAAACUCUUUCGUCGGGGAAGAAAAUGACUGUACCCGAAUAAGAAGGUCCGGCUAACUUCGUGCCAGCAGCCGCGGUAAUACGAAGGGACCUAGCGUAGUUCGGAAUUACUGGGCUUAAAGAGCUCGUAGGUGGUUAAAAAAGUUGAUGGUGAAAUCCCAAGGCUCAACCUUGGAACUGCCAUCAAAACUUUUUAGCUAGAGUGUGAUAGAGGUAAGUGGAAUUUCUAGUGUAGAGGUGAAAUUCGUAGAUAUUAGAAAGAACACCAAAUGCGAAGGCAACUUACUGGGUCACUACUGACACUGAGGAGCGAAAGCAUGGGUAGCGAAGAGGAUUAGAUACCCUCGUAGUCCAUGCCGUAAACGAUGUGUGCUAG